Molecule: transfer RNA, 77 nt
Filed under: Oscillospiraceae bacterium
Lineage: Bacteria; Bacillati; Bacillota; Clostridia; Eubacteriales; Oscillospiraceae
Description: tRNA-Arg
Rfam family: tRNA
About the family: Transfer RNA (tRNA) molecules are approximately 80 nucleotides in length. Their secondary structure includes four short double-helical elements and three loops (D, anti-codon, and T loops).
Source: RNAcentral
GCACCCGUAGCUCAGAUGGAUAGAGUGUCAGACUCCGACUCUGAAGGUCGUGGGUUCGAAUCCCGCCGGGUGUGCCA